GAGAGAGGAUGAGCGGCUGUCGGUAGGCUCAUGUUUUUGAGCUGGCUGAGGAAAGUCCCCCCACCACCUGGAUGCACGAACACCAGAAGGUGUAGGGCGAGAGUCCUGGCACUGGCACAGAAACGAUACGACAUCGGGUCAAUGCAAUGAUGCAGAAAUGCUGAGGUCGCCCGAAUGUUGAUGAAACGGCGAAUCCUCGUGGGUGCAAGCCAAUCUGGGUAGAUGAUGAGUCCAGCAGAUACCCAAGUAGUGCGCAUAGACAGAUGCCGCUUAAAACAGAAGGGGGCUUACUAUCCUCACUC
This 302-nucleotide RNase P RNA is filed under the name Candidatus Syntropharchaeum caldarium. Its description in RNAcentral is "Candidatus Syntrophoarchaeum caldarius Archaeal RNase P". It matches the Rfam family "Archaeal RNase P". From Rfam's summary of the family: Ribonuclease P (RNase P) is a ubiquitous endoribonuclease, found in archaea, bacteria and eukarya as well as chloroplasts and mitochondria. Its best characterised activity is the generation of mature 5'-ends of tRNAs by cleaving the 5'-leader elements of precursor-tRNAs. The record is from Rfam by way of RNAcentral. Lineage: Archaea; Methanobacteriati; Halobacteriota; Candidatus Syntropharchaeia; Candidatus Syntropharchaeales.